UCAAAUACAGAAAAAGUAAUCAUGAUAAUUAUAUUUCAAGAGGUUUUUACAGUUGAAAAAAAAUAGAAGCUUAUGAUAAGCUGGCCACUAGCCUGCCUGAUGCCGGUGUGCUCCAUUUGUUUUGUGUUUUAUAAAAUGUAUGUUCCAUUUGCUUUGCCAUUAAGAAAUAAAGAAAGUUUACAUUGUUGCAUUAAAUUAUGGACCAUCUAGGAUUACAGUAAAUAUAAUUAUUUCAAUUUCCAGAAAAAUACAACAAAGAAAACGCUAGCAGCUUACGCAAUGCCUUAAACUCUCCUCGAUACUCUUGGCAUCAUUCACAAAUUUAACCCAGAAUAAUAAUAAUAGUAUGAUUCUA
RNAcentral lists this long non-coding RNA (355 nucleotides) under Panax ginseng (ginseng). Its description in RNAcentral is "long non-coding RNA (PGIN_LNC011672)". The record is from RNAcentral. Lineage: Eukaryota; Viridiplantae; Streptophyta; Magnoliopsida; Apiales; Araliaceae.